GAUGAACGCUGGCGGCGUGCCUAACACAUGCAAGUCGAACGGAGAUUCCGGACGGAAGUUUUCGGAUGGAAGCCUGUAAUUCUUAGUGGCGGACGGGUGAGUAACGCGUGGGCAACCUGCCCUAUACAGGGGGAUAGCAGCUGGAAACGGCUGGUAAGACCGCAUAAGUCGGUUAAAUCGCAUGAUUUGAUCGGGAAAUGAGCAAUCAGGUAUAGGAUGGGCCCGCGUCCGAUUAGCCAGUUGGCAGGGUAAAAGCCUACCAAAGCGACGAUCGGUAGCCGGACUGAGAGGUCGGACGGCCACAUUGGGACUGAGACACGGCCCAAACUCUUACGGGAGGCAGCAGUGGGGGAUAUUGCACAAUGGAGGAAACUCUGAUGCAGCGACGCCGCGUGAGUGAAGAAGUAUUUCGGUAUGUAAAGCUCUAUCAGCAGGGAAGAUGAUGACGGUACCUGACUAAGAAGCCCCGGCUAACUACGUG
RNAcentral lists this ribosomal RNA (481 nucleotides) under uncultured bacterium. RNAcentral's name for it is "partial 16S ribosomal RNA". It matches the Rfam family "Bacterial small subunit ribosomal RNA", at positions 28 to 507 of the family's 1533-position model. The record is from RNAcentral.